UACGGAUGGCGCACGGCGCACGGGUGCGUAACACGUGGGCAAUCUGCCCUCGGAUGGGGGAUANCUCGUCGAAAGGCGAGCUAAUACCGCAUGACAUUCAAAAAAANACCGGUCUUUGGACUCAAAGGCCGCAAGGCCGUCUGAGGAGGAGCCCGCGCCCGAUUAGCUAGUUGGUGAGGUAACGGCUCACCAAGGCUUUGAUCGGUAGCCGGUCUGAGAGGAUGGCCGGCCACACUGGAACUGAGACACGGUCCAGACUCCUACGGGAGGCAGCAGUGGGGAAUAUUGCGCAAUGGGCGAAAGCCUGACGCAGCGACGCCGCGUGGGGGAUGAAGCUUCUCGGAGUGUAAACCCCUUUCGACCCGGACGAAUGACCCGCAAGGGUUUGNCNUACGGG
RNAcentral lists this ribosomal RNA (397 nucleotides) under uncultured bacterium. Its description in RNAcentral is "bacterial SSU rRNA". It matches the Rfam family "Bacterial small subunit ribosomal RNA", at positions 83 to 481 of the family's 1533-position model. The record is from RNAcentral.